Molecule: non-coding RNA, 246 nt
Organism: Vicia faba (fava bean)
Lineage: Eukaryota; Viridiplantae; Streptophyta; Magnoliopsida; Fabales; Fabaceae
Source: the annotation of a GenBank genome assembly
AUGACAUCAUUAUGUGUGGCAAAAAGAAAUCCUCACAUGAUACAAACCGUAGAGAGAGACAGUAGACCAAAAGCCAUUUCUCAUCUUUUACCCACUGCGCUUUUCUCCAAAAAAAAAAACCAUAUAUGGAUCUCACUUGUUCCCAUCUCCUUCUCUCUUAAUUUCUUAUUUUUUCAAAUUCCGCAUCAAUUUCUCAAUUCUUCUUCAAGAGCAUCACAACAUAGCAACAAAGGAAUAGUAAAAUGA